Molecule: long non-coding RNA, 847 nt
Organism: Podarcis raffonei (Aeolian wall lizard)
Lineage: Eukaryota; Metazoa; Chordata; Lepidosauria; Squamata; Lacertidae
Exons: 2
Source: RefSeq, a predicted model, not a curated record
ACAACAUAGUGGUAAAGAGUAGGUUUUUGUGGGGAAACUGCCAGGGUGGCAGGGGAAGAAGCACUCAGACAUGGAGCUUUAAAGAGUGGACCUAUGUCUAGAAAUGAGGCACAAAAGCAAGUCUGGAUGAGCACCUUCUUUCUAAGCUGAGCUUACCUAUACCUGACAGAAAUUGAUUACCAUUUCCAUAUAACUUACUACAUUUAUAUCCUUAUUACAGUGAAGAGCUCAAGGUGUCAUUCACCUCCGUAUUAGCCUCACAACAACCCUUUGUGGCAAGUUAGGCUAUGGGGUGGUGAGGUUCAUGGCUGAAUGGGAAUUUGACCUGUAUUCUCCUCAGUCCUAGUCCAGCACUACACUGCAAUGAUACCUGUUCGGUAGACUUCAGCCAGAGUGAUUCAAGGGCCUGACUAUAAGAACGCAUGUGUCUCUGGCUCCUUAGCUCUACCUAUGCAGGGGAGUAUUCAAGAAUAUGAUUUCUCCCCCGGAAGUGUUACACUUCAAAAUUCUAUCUGUUGUUUUGAAAAGAAGCAUCAAGAGAACCUGAACAGCCUUUACCAAAGGUGUCAUGGACUUUGAGGAAGCACGAACUCAGGGCAAAAAGGAGAAAUGAGCUAAGAGCAAGACAUGUUUGGGAAACCCGCACUGUGAUCAACUCCCAUCCAGAAACCUAUGUCCCCGCUGUGGAAGGAUGUGUGGAUCCAGAAUUGGCCUCCACAGUCACUUACGGACUCACUGUUAAGACUGUGUUCAUGGAAGACAAUCUUACUUGGCUACGAGUGAUUGCCAAAGAAGAAAGAAAACCCUCUUAAGCUUCACCAUGCAGAGAAUAAACAAUCACAACUCA